Molecule: long non-coding RNA, 499 nt
Organism: Priapulus caudatus
Lineage: Eukaryota; Metazoa; Priapulida; Priapulimorpha; Priapulimorphida; Priapulidae
Exons: 2
Source: RefSeq, a predicted model, not a curated record
CCGAUUCGUCGAUCAGCCAGAAAAGUGAAGCCACCUGAAAGAUUAGACUUAUGAACAUUUUCUGUAGAGCCAUAUCAUUGUUUUUACACAGUACUGUAUUCGUGAAAGUUGAGUUAUGUUAUAUGUCACGAUAGAUGGCAGCACUGGUCCGACAGUGAUGCACGUGUGGUUCUGCUGAGUAAACGUACUUGGCACAUACUCUACGAGUUCUUUAUCUAAUUGCGUAUCCGUAGUACGAAACUACGACAGCUUCGAACUGUUAUAGUUGAAAACUUAACGACUUUUUGAGCGAUCGACAUAUCUACUAGUAGCAGUAGUACUAGAAUUUGUAUUGAGAGUCAUCGCCGUCUCGGUGUAAGCGCGAACGUCCAGAAAAAUUAAGCAAUCCCCCCUGCUAGGUUUUGAUCUAACGACGGCAUUUCAUGGGCUCUUCUGCAAUGCUUUCAAUCUAAAGUGUACCCCUAUGAAAUAAAGAAAACUAAUAUGAAUUUUUAAAGCC